AGUGAACGCUGGCGGCAGGCCUAACACAUGCAAGUCGAACGGCAGCACAAGAGAGCUUGCUCUCUGGGUGGCGAGAGGCGGACGGGUGAGGAAUGCAUCGGAAUCUGCCCAUUUGUGGGGGAUAACCUCGGGAAACCGGGACUAAUACCGCAUACGACCUACGGGUGAAAGCAGGGGAUCUUCGGACCUUGCGCAGAUGGAUGAGCCGAUGCCGGAUUAGCUAGUUGGAGGGGUAAAGGCCCACCAAGGCGACGAUCCGUAGCUGGUCUGAGAGGAUGAUCAGCCACACUGGAACUGAGAAACGGCCCAGACUCCUACGGGAGGCAGCAGUGGGGAAUAUUGGACAAUGGGCGCAAGCCUGAUCCAGCCAUGCCGCGUGUGUGAAGAAGGCCUUCGGGUUGUAAAGCACUUUUGUUGGGAAAGAAAAGCAGCCGGUUAAUACCCGGUUGUCAUGACGGUACCCAAAGAAUAAGCACCGGCUAACUUCGUG
This 490-nucleotide ribosomal RNA is filed under the name uncultured bacterium. Its description in RNAcentral is "partial 16S ribosomal RNA". It matches the Rfam family "Bacterial small subunit ribosomal RNA", at positions 29 to 507 of the family's 1533-position model. The record is from RNAcentral.